GAUGGGGGUCUGUGAAGCCUUCUUGGGCUCCAGCCAGGCCUUCAAAGUCAGGAAGUUUGUGGCUGAAAAGGAGGGGAAAGAAGCUGAGUGUAGAGACAGAGGCUCUGGGUGCGGGGCCAUCCCAGAAGCACAGCCUCAUUUCCCAGCCUGGCCUGGGGACCAGCAGUAGGAGCAGAGCCCAGCGAUCGAGAAUCGAGCGAUCGAGCCUCCUGAUUCCACUGAAACCAGAACUCGGUUGCCUGUAUCUGAUUUGACUCCUGGGGGACAAAAAGGCCUGACAAUAACCGCCCUCCCGAACCUUGCAGGGCAGCUUGGAAGGAUCAAAUGAGGUAACAGCCAUCUUCAGCUAAGAGAUCCUUAGGAAACAAAUGGAUUAUUUCCUUCCUUUAUAACGGAGGGUAUCUCCGGUUCAAAUAAUCAGUCACGCAAAGACUGUUUCUUCUAGAAGGAGAAGAAGAUGAAGGCGACUUGGAUCAGAGAGAAUCAACAACGUAGCCAAGGUCAGGCAGAGACACUACUCACUGAGGCUGCAUGUUCCUCCACAGCCUCCCCACUGGCUCCUCCCCCUAAACGUGGGUGUUCCCAGGCCCUGGGUCUCCUUCUCCCUUUCUGUUAUCUCCCUUUAAAAUCUUGGGUCAGGGCUUCCCUGGUGGCGCAGUGGUUGAGAAUCUGCCUGCUAAUGCGGGGGACACGGGUUCGAGCCCUGGUC
Aethalodelphis obliquidens (Pacific white-sided dolphin) is the source of this 709-nucleotide long non-coding RNA. RefSeq lists it as uncharacterized. NCBI's taxonomy places the organism in Eukaryota, Metazoa, Chordata, Mammalia, Artiodactyla, Delphinidae. The record is from RefSeq and is a predicted model, not a curated record. The transcript has 3 exons.